Molecule: long non-coding RNA, 721 nt
Filed under: Rattus norvegicus (Norway rat)
Lineage: Eukaryota; Metazoa; Chordata; Mammalia; Rodentia; Muridae
Description: long non-coding RNA NONRATT022979
Source: RNAcentral
GAGGAGUUCUUUAAGUGCUCCUAGACGUGCAUAUUAAGUAACAACUUCGUAGCUUGGCGCUAUACGCAUCACUAGGUUUGUAGCUACAGUGCAUGGUCCGUCACUCCAUUACUGACGUCAACGUCCUAGAGGGUUGUCACAUUAGUCUAGAAAAGCUCUGAAUGCUGCAGGAGAGAAGAAGAAGCACAGUCAGCAUUUUGUGUUAAGAUUUCCCAAAGAGUGACCCUGUCUUGUCUGCUCCUGUCAUCCUGUACCCUGUUGGCUUUCCACAUGGAUUCUCGCCAGAAGCUAAAGCACGUGCAUAAGUGGCUACGUCUUGUCUCUCUCAUCUGCCUCUACAUGCUUUAUUCCACUAUAUUUGCUAACAAGAUGUUUUCGUUUCAGUUCUGUAAACAGGAUGUGGUUUAGCAUAUGCCUGUUUGUUUGGCUGUCCAUCCUGCACCAUUAAUACAAUGCCUUUUCCCCAUUUAAUGGUGUUUGUAUCUAUGUCCCUAUAUCUGCUGCAUUUUAACUUCAUUAAAAAAACAUGAUUUUGUAUUUAUACUUUGCUGAUCUAUUCAGUAAUUCUGCACCAAUCAGCAGACUUCUCUGCAUGUAGUAGUCUGUACAAUUGUUCAACAUCAGAAUACUUGUUCAUGUCAAAUGUCUAUAAAAUUGCCAACAUUGUUCUCCAUUUCAGUCUGGUAGAAUACGUGAGAUAGAAAAUAAAUGUGUAAAUGAA